CAAUAGCGUAUAUUAAAGCUGUUGCGGUUAAAAAGCUCGUAGUUGGAUUUCUGUCAAGGACAACUGGUCCGCCCUCCGGGUGAGCACAUAGUUUGGUCUUGACAUCUUGCUGGAAGCUGUUGCUGCACUUGGCUGUGUGGCAGCACUUUCACUUUGAGGAAAUUGGAGUGUUUCAAGCAGGCACAUGCCUUUGGACACAGUAGCAUGGAAUAAUUAGAUUGGGCUUUUGCUCCAAUUUGUCGGUUUCUGGAGCUGAGGUGAGUAUUAAUGGGGAUUGUUGGGGGCAUCCGAAUUUAGCCGUCAGAGGUGAAAUUCUUGGAUCUGCUAAAGACGGACAACUGCGAAAGCGUUUGCCCAGGAUGUUUUCAUUG
This 371-nucleotide ribosomal RNA is filed under the name uncultured eukaryote. Its description in RNAcentral is "partial 18S ribosomal RNA". It matches the Rfam family "Eukaryotic small subunit ribosomal RNA", at positions 592 to 975 of the family's 1831-position model. The record is from RNAcentral.